CCCCCCCCCCACCCCCGCGUCUCGUCCUCACCAGCAGCAUCUGUACGUUGGCGAUGUUCCUAAGUUGGAUACAUCCGCUUUCGAAUCAGGGAAACCCCUCAACUAGAGCCGAAGCCUGUGAACACUCGCCCCGAGGCAUGACAGUGCGGUGAGAUAAAACCUUCUCAGUUCAACGAUCAAGCUAGCGAUCAUCGCCUACUCCCCAAGUCUCUUAUCAUCACCUGGUGCGACUGAAACUAAAUGGUAAGAGUAGGAAUCGAAACUGGGUCACUUAUUUAUCGCUUUUGUUGCCACCUCUUGAAGAUUAA
This is a long non-coding RNA of Helianthus annuus (common sunflower), 308 nucleotides long. RefSeq lists it as uncharacterized. The record is from RefSeq and is a predicted model, not a curated record. The transcript has 2 exons. Lineage: Eukaryota; Viridiplantae; Streptophyta; Magnoliopsida; Asterales; Asteraceae.